AAGAUCGUACUUCUAGGGAUCAGUCCUAUAGUAUGUAUCACCAGGACGUCAAACAAAGACUCAACUUAGCUAAAUAUAUUUGAACUAUGGUUAUAUCGAGUUAAUUAACUUAAAAUGCACAUAUAGCAAUAGAGACUGA
This 139-nucleotide small nucleolar RNA is filed under the name Schistosoma japonicum. RNAcentral describes it as "Small nucleolar RNA U3". It matches the Rfam family "Small nucleolar RNA U3". From Rfam's summary of the family: Small nucleolar RNAs (snoRNAs) are involved in the processing and modification of rRNA in the nucleolus. The record is from Rfam by way of RNAcentral. Lineage: Eukaryota; Metazoa; Platyhelminthes; Trematoda; Strigeidida; Schistosomatidae.